CACAGAGAUCUGACUGCCUCUGCCUCCCGAGUGUGUGGCUUGAUAAUCUUAAAGAGAGUUCACUCCAGGGUUUGCUGAAGGAAGCAGAGCAGAUUUUCAAUAAGCAAG
This is a long non-coding RNA of Microtus ochrogaster (prairie vole), 108 nucleotides long. RefSeq lists it as uncharacterized. The record is from RefSeq and is a predicted model, not a curated record. The transcript is spliced from 3 exons. Lineage: Eukaryota; Metazoa; Chordata; Mammalia; Rodentia; Cricetidae.